AGCUAUAUGAAUUUAUGUAUAGUUUUUUCUGCCCAGUGAUAUUUUAACGGCCGCAGUACUUUGACUGUGCUAAGGUAGCAUAAUCAAUUGACUUUUAAUUGGAGUCUGGAAUGAAUGGAAGAAUGGGAAGUAACUGUUUCUUGAAAAAUUUAUUGAAAUUACUAUAAAGGUGAAAAUACCUUUUUUAAAAAAAAAGACGAGAAGACCCUUAGAGUUUUUUUGUUGGGGUGACAUAUAAGCUAACCUUAUUUUAUGGAAGAAUAAACUACCUAAGGGAUAACAGCAUAAUUUUUUUUUAAGAUUGUGACCUCGAUGUUGGACUAGGAAAUUAAUAAUUAGAAAUUAAAAUUUAUAGUUCUGUUCGAACUUUUUCUCCU
Molecule: ribosomal RNA, 377 nt
Filed under: Oophana subbulbulus
Lineage: Eukaryota; Metazoa; Mollusca; Gastropoda; Stylommatophora; Streptaxidae
Description: partial large subunit ribosomal RNA
Rfam family: Bacterial large subunit ribosomal RNA
Source: RNAcentral